Molecule: long non-coding RNA, 1493 nt
Organism: Raphanus sativus (radish)
Lineage: Eukaryota; Viridiplantae; Streptophyta; Magnoliopsida; Brassicales; Brassicaceae
Exons: 6
Source: RefSeq, a predicted model, not a curated record
UGUCAUAUUUUUCUUUUUGUUUUCUUCUCCGUUUGUUGAGAAAGAGAAGAGAUAGACAGUUAACCAAGUCAUGCUUUGAGAUUCCUCUUUCUCUCUCUCUCGAAGCAUUUCCAAAUCUGUGUUCUUGAGAUUCAGAUGUAUCCUUAUCUUGACGAUGAUGAUUUCGUCUCUGAUAUCUUUUGUUUCGAUCAAAGAUGAAUGAGAGAGAUGACUGUUUUUUAAACCUCGGCAGCAAUGGAGCAGAACUCGAUGAUUACACACAGUUUGGUGUAGAUUUGCAGCCUGGUCAAGAAGAUACCUUCCCAGAUUUUGGGUCAUACGGUGUCAAUCUACAGAGCGAUCCAGAACAAGUUUUCAGCAUAGGAGACUUGACAUCAUACAGUGGAGUUUUAACGCAAGAGCCAGGGUAAUUUCGUAACUCUGGUGGGACUGUGCAGGAAGAUGAAGUAGUUGUUAAUUCUGGCUCAUCUGGUGGAGCUGUAAAGCAAGAACUUGAACAUGUAGAUGAGGAAAGCUCCAAAAAGCGGGGAAGGACUUGAUCUUGUGUAUGACCAGGAGGGACCAAAGCUUGUCGUGAGAGAUUGAGGAGGGAGAAGCUAAAUGAGAACUACAGAACUUAUUAGUAUAUGUGUUAGUUUUGUAGUUUGAGUUGUCUAAAAAAUGGGUUUGUGUCUUUAGGUUCAUGGAUUUGAGCCUGGGAGGACUCCAAAGACCGAUAAACCGGCUAUACUCGAUGAUGCAAUCCGUGUCUUGAAUUAACGCAGAGAUGAAGCUCAUGAGCUUGAAGAAACUAAUCAGAAGCUUUUAGAGGAGAUCAAGAGUCUCAAGGUUCAGAAUAGAAUUAGUAUUUGAAAGUGGUGACAGAACAACUAAGUUCGUCUUGUUUGACCGGGAUGCAAAAAAGAUUACACACACCACUGCUGAAGAAAUAACUGCAUUAGAGGAAAGAGAAGAAGGAGACAAUCGCGACCAUCAAAAAGUACCGAAAUGUCUUCUAGACAUUAUUGGAAAGACAAUGGACUUCCAAGUUGUUGAUCAAAAAAAAGACUUCCAAGUCAAGAUUGCAGAGUACAACUUCAAAGCUUCUUUCCAGACUUUUACUGUUACCAAAAAAAAUUCAAUCCUUCAAGCGAACGAUGAUCCCAUGACAGCAAAGACAAAACAACCAAAGAAAAUGAACCAGAGAUGUAUGACAAUAUCAAAAAAGAUGGAGAAGCUCCUACUUUCCAGACUUCAAGUCUUGGUUCUGAAACUGCCCAGGAAAGGAAAAAAUGAAACAGAAGAUGUAAAGAAGCAAGUUAUGGAUGAAGUUACUACUGAGAACGAGACCAAGAAGUGACGGAUCAUUCCAUCGGUUAAAAACUUAAUAUUUAUAUUAAUAUAAUAUUUAACACAUAGACCUCUUAUGUUUGAGUUUUCUUUUUUCCAUUAUUAACAAUUCAGUGAGUUUCUAUUGAACUAAAAAAAAAUUAAAAAAAUAUUUUCAAAGUAAA